RNAcentral lists this ribosomal RNA (805 nucleotides) under Holwaya mucida subsp. mucida. RNAcentral describes it as "LSU rRNA". It matches the Rfam family "Eukaryotic large subunit ribosomal RNA", at positions 82 to 906 of the family's 3401-position model. The record is from RNAcentral. Lineage: Eukaryota; Fungi; Ascomycota; Leotiomycetes; Thelebolales; Holwayaceae.
AGUAACGGCGAGUGAAGCGGCAACAGCUCAAAUUUGAAAUCUGGCCGCAAGGCUCCGAGUUGUAAUUUGUAGAGGAUGUUUCGGGUGUGGUCCAGUCUAAGUUCCUUGGAACAGGACGUCAUAGAGGGUGAGAAUCCCGUAUGUGACUGGGUGCCUAAUCCCAUGUGAAACUCCUUCAACGAGUCGAGUUGUUUGGGAAUGCAGCUCAAAAUGGGUGGUAAAUUUCAUCUAAAGCUAAAUAUUGGCCAGAGACCGAUAGCGCACAAGUAGAGUGAUCGAAAGAUGAAAAGCACUUUGGAAAGAGAGUUAAACAGUACGUGAAAUUGUUGAAAGGGAAGCGCUUGCAACCAGACUUGCACGCAGCUGAUCAUCCGGUGUUCUCACCGGUGCACUCGGUUGCGUUCAGGCCAGCAUCGGUUUUGGUGGUGGGAUAAAGGCCCUAGGAAUGUGGCUCCUCUCGGGGAGUGUUAUAGCCUAGGGUGCAAUGCCGCCUACCGGGACCGAGGACCGCGCUUCGGCUAGGAUGCUGGCGUAAUGGUUGUAAGCGACCCGUCUUGAAACACGGACCAAGGAGUCUAACAUCUAUGCGAGUGUUUGGGUGUCAAACCCAUACGCGUAAUGAAAGUGAACGGAGGUGAGAACCCUUAAGGGUGCAUCAUCGACCGAUCCUGAUGUCUUCGGAUGGAUUUGAGUAAGAGCAUAGCUGUUGGGACCCGAAAGAUGGUGAACUAUGCCUGAAUAGGGUGAAGCCAGAGGAAACUCUGGUGGGAGGCUCGCAGCGGUUCUGACGUGCAAAUCGAUCGUC